AGAAUCAACGCUGGCGGCGUGCCUAACACAUGCAAGUCGAACGAGAAAGUGGAGCAAUCCAUGAGUAAAGUGGCGACCGGGUGAGUAACACGUGACUAACCUACCUCCGAGUGGGGAAUAACUCCGGGAAACCGGGCUAAUACCGCAUAACAUCGCAAGAUCAAAGCAGCAAUGCGCUUGGAGAGGGGGUCGCGGCUGAUUAGCUAGUUGGCGGGUAACGGCCCACCAAGGCGAAGAUCGGUA
RNAcentral lists this ribosomal RNA (243 nucleotides) under uncultured bacterium. RNAcentral describes it as "partial small subunit ribosomal RNA". It matches the Rfam family "Bacterial small subunit ribosomal RNA", at positions 26 to 285 of the family's 1533-position model. The record is from RNAcentral.